AGAACGAACGCUGGCGGCAUGCCUAAUACAUGCAAGUCGAACGAACUCUUCGGAGUUAGUGGCGCACGGGUGCGUAACGCGUGGGAAUCUGCCCCUUGGUUCGGAAUAACAGUUGGAAACGACUGCUAAUACCGGAUGAUGACGAAAGUCCAAAGAUUUAUCGCCAAGGGAUGAGCCCGCGUAGGAUUAGCUAGUUGGUGAGGUAAAGGCUCACCAAGGCAACGAUCCUUAGCUGGUCUGAGAGGAUGAUCAGCCACACUGGGACUGAGACACGGCCCAGACUCCUACGGGAGGCAGCAGUAGGGAAUAUGGACAAUGGGCGGAAGCCUGAUCCAGCAAUGCCGCGUGAGUGAUGAAGGCCUUAGGUUGUAAAGCUCUUUACCCGAGAUGAUAAUGACAGUAUCGGAGAAUAACGCCCCGAUAACCGUCCGUGACCAGCAGCCG
Molecule: ribosomal RNA, 444 nt
Filed under: uncultured soil bacterium
Lineage: Bacteria
Description: bacterial SSU rRNA
Rfam family: Bacterial small subunit ribosomal RNA
Source: RNAcentral